AUCGGCGGAGGCGGGGGCCAGGGCUGGAGGCAGAACGAAACGGGAAGGCAGGCCUAGUGGGGGUAAUGGCGAGCGGCAGUCGGGAGGAGAGGAGAGGACUGCGGGGAGGUGCGGGCGCUAGGCCCGCCUCGGCUCCGGCGUUGCGCCAAAGACCCGCUAGGAGGCGCCGCUGCCCCGCGAAGCCGUGCCCUGCCUCUAGCACCACCCAAACCCCGCGCUCCCGCCUAGAGAAGCCCCGGAAGAGGCGGGGCGGCGCACUCAGAUGCCGCUUCCGGUUUCAGCUUGGCCCCGAGGCAGGGGAGCCUGGUGCACGACAGGAGCUCAGGACAAGCUGAACCUGCUCUGUGGCCUGCGGUGAGCCUCGAAGUUAUCCUAGCUGUCCAGUUCAGGUGCUGCUGGACCAGCAUGCACAGACACAAGUCAUGCCUCCUCUGGUGCCCAUGAAGCCCUGGCUGGGCAACCAUCCUCCGCCCCCAGAACAAUGUCUCUUGAAAGGAUGAAAGGACUCCUGGGCUCCCAAGUGUAAAGGAAGCAGCAUGCCUGUGAUGUCCCUCGCUGGAUGACCGUGGUUGCGUCCUGACCCCUUCUGGGUCUCAGUGGCCUCAGCUUCAAAGCCAGGUGUUUCUCUAGCUCUGACUGUUGAUUUUCUCCCCAGCCUGUUCCCGAACCCACCCUCCCAGUCCCUGUUCCCACUUCCCUCAGUGAUCCUCUCCCUCUAAUACUCCCCACACCACCUCCACCAAGAAGGCUCCCUGACCUUCCCAGGCAUCAUGAGUUUCUACCCUCUCUGCACAAACAACUAUGGUGAAUAUUAUAUGGCAGGAUUAGUGUUUUCACCUCUCCCCGCUCCAGGGGGAACCCCUGGAAGGGUGGGUUAAACUUUGUGUGAUUCA
Long non-coding RNA from Aethalodelphis obliquidens (Pacific white-sided dolphin), 893 nucleotides. RefSeq lists it as uncharacterized. The record is from RefSeq and is a predicted model, not a curated record. Lineage: Eukaryota; Metazoa; Chordata; Mammalia; Artiodactyla; Delphinidae. The transcript has 3 exons.